This is a non-coding RNA of Schizosaccharomyces pombe (fission yeast), 463 nucleotides long. The record is from the annotation of a GenBank genome assembly. NCBI's taxonomy places the organism in Eukaryota, Fungi, Ascomycota, Schizosaccharomycetes, Schizosaccharomycetales, Schizosaccharomycetaceae.
UUUCCCACAGCCAUGUCCAGCAAGGCCAAAUUUCGAAUAAAUUGCUUUUUUUGUGAAGCAAGUAGACUUGACAAGGCUUUCUCCAAAUUUGUUCCGUGAAGGUCACGAAAGGAUAUAUAUGGAUUAUCAAUACUCAUGCUAAUUAAAUUAUUUACGAAGAUUGCCUGAGAAGUUUCGUCUAGACUGUUUAUCAAAAUUAGUAAAGAUCAUUCAAAAACUGUUGUCAUACCAAUCUUUGGAAAUUUUGAGAGACUCUUUGGAGGCUUUUUCAUUAUCACCAGCUUGUAAAUAGGCGAAAAAGAGUUGUAAUCGACAAAGGUUAAUCUGAGACUUAUGAUCUUCAGAGUUGGAAUCAGAAUUUUCAAGCUUUUCAAGAGAAGACGAAAGUAACUCAAUUGCCUGGUUCCAAUCACCAAUAGUUAAGUAGCGCGUAGCAAGGUUAAAGACAGAAUCCUGGUCAUCC